This 83-nucleotide ribosomal RNA is filed under the name Peltogyne paniculata subsp. pubescens. RNAcentral's name for it is "partial 26S ribosomal RNA". It matches the Rfam family "Eukaryotic large subunit ribosomal RNA", at positions 1 to 82 of the family's 3401-position model. The record is from RNAcentral. RNAcentral also lists the same sequence under 1 other name. Lineage: Eukaryota; Viridiplantae; Streptophyta; Magnoliopsida; Fabales; Fabaceae.
GCGACCUCAGCUCAGGCGGGGCCACCCGCUGAGUUUAAGCAUAUCAAUAAGCGGAGGAAAAGAAACUAACGAGGAUUCCCCUA